GGAGAAAGUGUCUGAGGGAAGAAAGAAAAAAGAGAAAGUAGAGUAAGAGCUCCAUCAUAGUCAGGGUCACUGUGGAUCCAGAUCCUGGGAACACUGGGUACAAAAUGCUCUCUGUGGAAGUGACGGUCAAUUGGUAGGGCACUGACCAGCUGUUCUUGUGGUUUGUGCAGCAUAAAUCGGGGCUAAGGAUACAGACAGGAGCUGACGGGCCCCAGGGUAUGGAGGCUAGCGGUCUUCGUUCAUUGGUGGUGGGAGUUUCCUUGCUGUUGUGUUCUUGUUGCUGCAUCAACGCGGUCAACAUCAUCAACAUCAUCGCGAUGUGAGUGUGGUUGUGUGGUCUGGAGUGGUGUUCGGGGACCCAUUAAAUCGUCAGCCAGCCUACCCGGCUUCUGUUCCAGCAGGAUUCCCCCUGUGAGGCAGCAGUGUGUCUGACGUAACCAAGUGCCUAGCGUUGAUCAAAAGCAGUGUGAG
Molecule: long non-coding RNA, 471 nt
Organism: Ictalurus punctatus (channel catfish)
Lineage: Eukaryota; Metazoa; Chordata; Actinopteri; Siluriformes; Ictaluridae
Source: Ensembl